ACGGAAGGCAGCAGUGGGGAAUAUUGCACAAUGGGCGAAAGCCUGAUGCAGCGACGCCACGUGAGUGAAGAAGUAUCUCGGUAUGUAAAGCUCUAUCAGCAGGGAAGAAAAUGACGGUACCUGACUAAGAAGCCCCGGCUAACUACGUGCCAGCAGCCGCGGUAAUACGUAGGGGGCAAGCGUUAUCCGGAUUUACUGGGUGUAAAGGGAGCGUAGACGGUUUGGCAAGUCUGAAGUGAAAUGCGGGGGCUCAACUCCUGAACUGCUUUGGAAACUGUCGAACUAGAGUGCAGGAGAGGUAAGUGGAAUUCCUAGUGUAGCGGUGAAAUGCGUAGAUAUUAGGAGGAACACCAGUGGCGAAGGCGGCUUACUGGACUGUAACUGACGUUGAGGCUCGAAAGCGUGGGGAGCAAACAGGAUUAGAUACCCUGGUA
This 434-nucleotide ribosomal RNA is filed under the name uncultured Lachnospiraceae bacterium. RNAcentral's name for it is "partial 16S ribosomal RNA". It matches the Rfam family "Bacterial small subunit ribosomal RNA", at positions 341 to 792 of the family's 1533-position model. Lineage: Bacteria; Bacillati; Bacillota; Clostridia; Lachnospirales; Lachnospiraceae. The record is from RNAcentral.